This 497-nucleotide ribosomal RNA is filed under the name uncultured bacterium. Its description in RNAcentral is "partial 16S ribosomal RNA". It matches the Rfam family "Bacterial small subunit ribosomal RNA", at positions 28 to 507 of the family's 1533-position model. The record is from RNAcentral.
GAUGAACGCUGGCGGCGUGCCUAAUACAUGCAAGUCGAGCGAACAGAUGAGGAGCUUGCUCCUCUGACGUUAGCGGCGGACGGGUGAGUAACACGUGGAUAACCUACCUAUAAGACUGGGAUAACUUCGGGAAACCGGAGCUAAUACCGGAUAAUAUAUUGAACCGCAUGGUUCAAUAGUGAAAGACGGUUUUGCUGUCACUUAUAGAUGGAUCCGCGCCGCAUUAGCUAGUUGGUAAGGUAACGGCUUACCAAGGCAACGAUGCGUAGCCGACCUGAGAGGGUGAUCGGCCACACUGGAACUGAGACACGGUCCAGACUCCUACGGGAGGCAGCAAUAGGGAAUCUUCCGCAAUGGGCGAAAGCCUGACGGAGCAACGCCGCGUGAGUGAUGAAGGUCUUCGGAUCGUAAAACCCUGUUAUUAGGGAAGAACAAAUGUGUAAGUAACUAUGCACGUCUUGACGGUACCUAAUCAGAAAGCCACGGCUAACUACGUG